This 231-nucleotide ribosomal RNA is filed under the name uncultured bacterium. RNAcentral's name for it is "partial 16S ribosomal RNA". It matches the Rfam family "Bacterial small subunit ribosomal RNA", at positions 258 to 504 of the family's 1533-position model. The record is from RNAcentral.
UAACGGCUCACCAAGGCAGCGAUCAGUAGCCGACCUGAGAGGGUGAUCGGCCACAUUGGAACUGAGACACGGUCCAAACUCCUACGGGAGGCAGCAGUGGGGAAUAUUGCACAAUGGGCGAAAGCCUGAUGCAGCAACGCCGCGUGAGCGAUGAAGGCCUUCGGGUCGUAAAGCUCUGUCCUUGGGGAAGAAAAAAUGACGGUACCCUUGGAGGAAGCCCCGGCUAACUAC